This is a long non-coding RNA of Dermochelys coriacea (leatherback sea turtle), 111 nucleotides long. RefSeq lists it as uncharacterized. The record is from RefSeq and is a predicted model, not a curated record. NCBI's taxonomy places the organism in Eukaryota, Metazoa, Chordata, Testudines, Dermochelyidae. The transcript has 4 exons.
CUGAAUGCCUAAUGUGUAUGCAAUUGAAAAGCAUAUGCUAACUGUUGUAUUCUCAAUAAAUGUGGCGUGCUGCCUUCUCCCCUAUAAAGAUCCCAUGUACUUCUUAUAAGU